UAACACGUAGGAGACAAGCGUUAUCCGGAUUUACUGGGCGUAAAGCGCAUGUAGGCGGUUUUCUAAGUCAGAUGUUAAAGCUCCCGGCUCAACUGGGAGAGGCCGUUUGAUACUGGAAGACUUGAGGGUGGUAGAGGAGAGUGGAAUUCCCGGUGUAGUGGUGAAAUGCGUAGAUAUCGGGAGGAACACCAGUGGCGAAGGCGGCUCUCUGGGCCACGCCUGACGCUGAGAUGCGAAAGCUAGGGGAGAGAACGGGAUUAGAAACCCCGGUAUUCCUAGCCGUAAACGAUGUCAACUAGGCGUAGGAGGUUAUUGACCCCUUCUGUGCUGAAGCCAACGCAUUAAGUUGACCGCCUGGGGACUACGGCCGCAAGGCUA
This 378-nucleotide ribosomal RNA is filed under the name uncultured bacterium. Its description in RNAcentral is "bacterial SSU rRNA". It matches the Rfam family "Bacterial small subunit ribosomal RNA", at positions 521 to 896 of the family's 1533-position model. The record is from RNAcentral.